RNAcentral lists this ribosomal RNA (253 nucleotides) under uncultured bacterium. RNAcentral describes it as "partial 16S ribosomal RNA". It matches the Rfam family "Bacterial small subunit ribosomal RNA", at positions 524 to 776 of the family's 1533-position model. The record is from RNAcentral.
UACGUAGGGUGCAAGCGUUGUCCGGAAUUACUGGGCGUAAAGCGUGCGCAGGCGGUUUCGUAAGUCUGUCGUGAAAUCCCCGGGCUUAACCUGGGAAUGGCGAUGGAGACUGCGAGGCUAGAGUUUGGCAGAGGGGGGUAGAAUUCCACGUGUAGCAGUGAAAUGCGUAGGGAUGUGGAGGAACACCGAUGGCGAAGGCAGCCCCCUGGGUCAAAACUGACGCUCAUGCACGAAAGCGUGGGGAGCAAACAGG